GGAGAUUAGAAGCGGGAAUAGAAAGGGGUGAAUAAAUAAUGAAGGCUCGAAAUCAAAUCAUUGUUAAGGAGGGACAAUCAUAAGAUAACUGUUGUUUAGUCGCAAGGACUCGAUUAACUCGUAAGUUCGGAUGAACCCGACUUAGCUUAAAGACAUAUUACUUGAGAGUAUGCAGCGGAAUAACAUAAUCUGAUUACAUGUAUGAAGACAUGUAUCCAAGAGUCCAUUUAUUAAACUUAUGACAAAAGCUCCGCUCAUCACUUCAUCUUCAUCAGCCAUUGCUCAACCUGCACAUUUAGAAAUAUAUGCAGGGCUGAGUACAAAAGUACUCAGUGGGCACGUAUGCCUAAGUAUAAAAAUACAUGCUUCAAAAACUGUAAAUUGUCAUGCCAUCAUAAACAGUACAGCAAGGGAGUUUUUCGCUAAAAGGCCCAAGCUUACUAAAUUCAUUUGUGAUUCUUAAAGUUGGUCUGCAGACUAAGUUCUCUUGUAAUCUAUCAUAUCUGGAACUGUGUGCCGGAGAGGUGGCCACCUCUCACGGUCACUUGACCGGCCAACCCGCUAGAUGACUCACGGUCAUUGGUGUACACUAGCCCUGGCAGGAUAGCUAUCAACUGCUCAGGACCCGAAUUCGAUUGC
This 639-nucleotide long non-coding RNA is filed under the name Salvia miltiorrhiza (redroot sage). Its description in RNAcentral is "long non-coding RNA (SMIL_LNC007677)". The record is from RNAcentral. Lineage: Eukaryota; Viridiplantae; Streptophyta; Magnoliopsida; Lamiales; Lamiaceae.